AGGUUACCUUUGCCUCUUCUUGCUGUCUGCUUCUUUGCCUGUGGUUAAUAGUUCUUCUUUCUGCAAUUGCUAUGAGAUCUCGACGUAUGGUUAGUAAUUCUACUUUGUGCAAUUGGUAUGAGAUCUCGACGUAUUGUUAGUAAUUCUACUCUGUGCGAUUGCUUUGAGAUAUCUGCAAGAAGUAGCUCUUGUACUGAAUGAAACCAAGAAAUGGAGGUUAGAGACAUAAGCAGUACCUAUUUAGGAUCAGAGGCAUGCAUCUGAGUAGAUAAGGCACUGGGGGCAUCUAGUCGGUAGACCAAGCAUAAUUUAUCAAUAUAAUUUAACAUCUUAUUCGUUACUGAAUCUCAUCAUGUGGAGACACCUCCAUUUAGCAACCGGGAAUGCUGCCAAUGCUGGUUUGUGAUUGUAGCCAACGGUUCACUAUGUUAUUCUGAAAAUGACACAAGAUAUUCUAGCUCUUGUAUUCAGGCCACUGUGAUCGACAGUAGGCCAAAUUUGAAUGGGGCGGUGUAGCUAUGUAGGUCUCUAUCCAAGCAGAAAACAUAAUAAUGGGUGUAAUUGCAGCCACUUUGAGCAAAAUUGGUGUUAGUGCUAAUCUUAUUCAGAUGAUGGAUGGCCAGAGAGUUGCAUGGAUUUUCCUGGCCAACUUAAAACUUAACAUCCUAACAUCACUUUGCAACAGCCAUAUGAAUCAAAGGGAGAGAAUCUGUUUCCUAGCAGAAGGUCCACCGGAUAUACCACAUUCACCAAACUAUAGAUGUUUAUAGCCCAUUCUUGUUUAUUCCCGAGUUGCUGCUAUUAUCAAGGAAGCGCGCAAGUCCAGUAUCUUUUAGGGACAAUUGCCCAAGUUAUGUAUCACUGUGUUUGGAGAACUUUCUGAAUGUACAACUCAUACUUCCCACUUUACCAAUUAACUACCUAAAGACUGCGGUGUUUCCCUAUUGUUUGAAAGUGGUACGUGUUUCUGUUCUUCCAUAAAAACUGUUUAGUGAGCUGACAUCACUUGUGGGGUUUACAUAAAAAAACUUCAACUGGGGUAUGGGAACGAGACAACUGACUGUACUAGUAUUUUGAGAGUCUUGCUCCAGUCAACGGGAUUGUACAUUACAUUGACCUCUCCUUGGGAGUAUUCAGCUAUCUAUCAUGUCUUCUAGGCAUAUUUAACCUGUGUUCACCAAAGGUUCUUCUAAAAUUACAUGCCUUACAUAUGUUAAGACAUGAAGUUAAGCGUUCAAAUAAGGUUUGAUCAUUAUCAAUUUUCUUUAGGACAGUUCUCUUGGAAAAGAAACUUGACCAUGUAGCUGUUCACAGGUUUUUAACUGGUUUCUGGGCUCCCAACAGUACCUUUCCAAACUCUGUUAUAUUUUUCUUGAAGAACACAUUGCUCUUAUAUCUUUCAUUCUUUGUAAUACCUGUAAAUUUAGGCACAACUAAUUUACUAUGGUCUCAGAUGUGCUGAUUUAUAACCAUUGAAGACUUAGCCGUAUGAAUUGUGUUCUAUUUCCUGUGGACUUGGCAUCUUAUAGAUCUAGAAAGUUCAGCUAUCUAUCAUGUCUUCUAGGCAUAUUUAACCUGUGUUCACCAAAGGUUCUUCUAAAAUUACAUGCCUUACAUACGUUAAGACAUGAAGUUAAGCGUUCAAAUAGGGUUUGAUCAUUAUCAAUUUUCUUUAGGACAGUUCUCCUGGAAAAGAAACUUGACCAUGUAGCUGUUCACAGGUUUUUAACUGGUUUCUGGGCUCCCAACAGUACCUUUCCAAAUUCUGUUGUAUUUUUCUUGAAGAACACAUUGCUCUUAUAUCUUUCAUUCUUUGUAAUACCUGUAAAUUUAGGCACAACUAAUUUACUAUGGUCUCAGAUGUGCUGAUGCAUAACCAUUGAAGACUUAGCCGUAUGAAUUGUGUUCUAUUUCCUGUGGACUUGGCAUCUUAUAGAUCUAGAAAGUUCAGCUAUCUAUCAUGUCUUCUAGGCAUAUUUAACCUGUGUUCACCAAAGGUUCUUCUAAAAUUACAUGCCUUACAUACGUUAAGACAUGAAGUUAAGCGUUCAAAUAAGGUUUGAUCAUUAUCAAUUUUCUUUAGGACAGUUCUCCUGGAAAAGAAACUUGACCAUGUAGCUGUUCACAGGUUUUUAACUGGUUUCUGGGCUCCCAACAGUACCUUUCCAAAUUCUGUUAUAUUUUUCUUGAAGAACACAUUGCUCUUAUAUCUUUCAUUCUUUGUAAUACCUGUAAAUUUAGGCACAACUAAUUUACUAUGGUCUCAGAUGUGCUGAUGCAUAACCAUUGAAGACUUAGCCGUAUGAAUUGUGUUCUAUUUCCUGUGGACUUGGCAUCUUAUAGAUCUAGAAAGUUCUUGUGUUGUGAUGUUAAUCGACUGGGAUUGUUUUUUUAACGGUGAUCGACUGGGAUUGUUAACGGGAUAAUAUAUCAACCAGCAACAAAGCUGAGAUCUAUGCAUUUCUGGUGCUUGUAGCUUUGUUUCUUGCCGGUAAUUUUUCUGUUACACUGUUGCCAUGCUUGCUCAUUGAGAUUUUAAAUAGAUGGAAUAGAGUAGUUACAUUGUAAAUAUGUAAUCCUCUUCAAGGUUUACAUGUAUGGACAAUGCGCUCUGAAUGUUCAGCCAUAAUGCAUAAUGCAUUUACUGCACUAAUCACAGUCUGUAAAGUGGAAGUGAUCAAGUGAGAUGCAUGACUAAUAAUUUAUUUGAGUAGCCUUCUAUAAUGUUCAUCAGAAGGUUCAUAUAUUUCUUUUGUGUUGUUGGUUCUGUGCCUUGACCCUAUUCUUACUUAAAUUAUUUAUUUGCUGAUUGCAUCUUCUGUGCAAACACCAAUGUAUAUGGAUACAGGUUCUACAAUGCACCUGAUAUGAGUAUUGAUAUCUACAGGGAAUUUGUGCUUCAAUUUUCGAUCUAGCUUCUAUUUGAUUGCUCUGAGGGAAUUUUCAUAAUGUGACAAUGUUGGAAGUUUUAUUGAUACAUUACAAUAAGAGUGUAAUGCAUGCUUUGUUAUUGAUACAUUACAAUAAGAGUGUAAUUCAUAAUGUGACAAUGCUGUGUACUUUUUAUAUUUGCUUGUUAAAUAGGAGUGAGUACACAUAGAAAGUAGUUAGUCAGCUAAAGCUCUUCUGUCCUUGGUAUGUGCUGCUCUUAGUAAAUAUGUGCAGCUUAUCUGUCAUUGCCUCCUUGGUAUGUGGCUGUUAGGACUUGGAUACUUAAGUCAAUUGACUAUUGGCAGUUUUGUCAUGAACUAGUUAAUAGUUUGGAUGGGCUUUAGUACUACCUCUUUGUCAUUUUCAGUUUUUUUUUCUUUCCCCAUAAAUAAUUAACACGCAAAAGUGUCCAGGAAUGCAUACUCUUCUAUCCAUCUGGAUAGCAGAGGUGAAAAAGAAGAACACCAUUUUACCCCGAAGUAGUCCAUAAUGAACAACUUCACAUGUCACCACUGCCAUCUUUUGUGCUGCUCCACUGUUCACAUAUCUGCAUAUAUCACAAGGAAAUCCUACUUGUAUGACUAUAUGUUCACAAAUACAACUUGUGAACGCUUCUAUUAUCUUGUCGUGAAAAUAACAUUUGAAGUGCAGUGAAGUGCAUCAAAUAUUAUCUCUUUGGAUUAAACUCUGAAUGAAAAUGACUGUAUAUCACUCAGAGUUUAAUCCAAAGAGAUAAUGUCUGCUGCCACAUUUUCGCUUAGUUGGAUACUGCCCCAUGCCGUAACCAUUAGUAGUAAACUGUGAAUUAUUAAUAUGGUCAGUUUACUUUUAUGUUGUCAUAUGAUUCUGCCGGCUUCUUUUAAUUCCUAAUCUGUCUGAUAG
This 3813-nucleotide long non-coding RNA is filed under the name Triticum aestivum (bread wheat). RNAcentral describes it as "long non-coding RNA (TAES_LNC025454)". The record is from RNAcentral. Lineage: Eukaryota; Viridiplantae; Streptophyta; Magnoliopsida; Poales; Poaceae.